RNAcentral lists this ribosomal RNA (253 nucleotides) under uncultured bacterium. Its description in RNAcentral is "partial 16S ribosomal RNA". It matches the Rfam family "Bacterial small subunit ribosomal RNA", at positions 524 to 776 of the family's 1533-position model. The record is from RNAcentral.
UACGUAGGGUGCGAGCGUUAUUCGGAAUUACUGGGCGUAAAGCGUGCGCAGGCGGCGCGUUAAGUCAGGUGUGAAAGCCCCGAGCUUAACUUGGGAAUUGCGCUUGUGACUGGCGUGCUGGAGUGUGGCAGAGGGAGGUGGAAUUGGAGGUGUAGCGGUGGAAUGCGUAGAGAUCUCCAAGAACACCAGUUGCGAAGGCGGCCGACUGGACACAUAUUGACGCUGAGGCUCGAAAGCAUGGGGAGCAAACAGG